RNAcentral lists this ribosomal RNA (745 nucleotides) under uncultured bacterium. Its description in RNAcentral is "bacterial SSU rRNA". It matches the Rfam family "Bacterial small subunit ribosomal RNA", at positions 9 to 768 of the family's 1533-position model. The record is from RNAcentral.
UAGUUUGAUCCUGGCUCAGGACGAACGCUGGCGGCGUGCUUAACACAUGCAAGUCGAGCGGUAAGGCCCUUUCGGGGGUACACGAGCGGCGAACGGGUGAGUAACACGUGAGUAAUCUGCCCUUCACUUUGGGAUAACCCUCGGAAACGGGGGCUAAUACCGGAUAUGACCAUUGGCGGCAUCGUCUGGUGGUGGAAAGUUUUGGCGGUGGAGGAUGAGCUCGCAGCCUAUCAGCUUGUUGGUGAGGUAGUGGCUCACCAAGGCUUCGACGGGUAGCCGGCCUGAGAGGGUGACCGGCCACACUGGGACUGAGACACGGCCCAGACUCCUACGGGAGGCAGCAGUGGGGAAUAUUGGACAAUGGGCGGAAGCCUGAUCCAGCAAUGCCGCGUGAGGGAUGACGGCCUUCGGGUUGUAAACCUCUUUCGCCCAUGACGAAGCGAGAGUGACGGUAGUGGGUAAAGAAGCACCGGCCAACUACGUGCCAGCAGCCGCGGUAAUACGUAGGGUGCGAGCGUUGUCCGGAAUUAUUGGGCGUAAAGGGCUCGUAGGCGGUUUGUCGCGUCGGGAGUGAAAACUCAGGGCUUAACCCUGAGCCGGCUUCCGAUACGGGCAGACUAGAGGUAGGUAGGGGAGGACGGAAUUCCUGGUGUAGCGGUGGAAUGCGCAGAUAUCAGGAGGAACACCGGUGGCGAAGGCGGUUCUCUGGGCCUUACCUGACGCUGAGGAGCGAAAGCGUGGGGAG